Molecule: long non-coding RNA, 586 nt
Organism: Rhinopithecus bieti (black snub-nosed monkey)
Lineage: Eukaryota; Metazoa; Chordata; Mammalia; Primates; Cercopithecidae
Source: Ensembl
AAAACAUAUUGACAUACUUCAUCUUUGUUAUAGAUCUAAGGUGAAUCACAUAAGCAUCUCCAAAAGUUCUGGAAAAGCAUGAAAAAGUUAAAGGAGGAAAAACAAAACCCACUCCAGUCCGUUGUUUCCAUGGAACUUUCAUUUAAAGGAUGAAGAUGAAUGAUGAGGAUUGGAAAACACCAUGUGUUCUACACAUAUCUAGACUUUAUAAUCGUGUCUGGAACUUCAGGCUGGGGAAAAGUCUAAGAGAUGGAUGCCUAUAUGGAGGUAUCUUAACAUUAAUAAACUGUCUAGUAAGGAAUUUGGCCUUUUUCCCUAGCUCCUAGGAGGUAGUCUGUAAAUGUUUGUACCAGAUGUUGUUGGUGUGAGAGUGCAUAACAUUGUAGCUUACCAAUUACAACGUGCAUGGGGAGGGGAAGGGGAGAACACUGCUGUAUUAUAACUCCCAAGAAUCAGAAAUAAAAAUAUUAGUGUUCUUUCAUUUAAGUUUGCUUGAUUAAAAACAAACUAUAAAUCAAUCACCUCACUGUGCUAAUAACUAACAGUGUUUUUCCUAGCAUAUGAGGAAUACAUUAUUUAAAAUAUA